This is a long non-coding RNA of Oncorhynchus tshawytscha (Chinook salmon), 620 nucleotides long. Lineage: Eukaryota; Metazoa; Chordata; Actinopteri; Salmoniformes; Salmonidae. The record is from Ensembl.
AGAAGAGAGAGGGUGGCGAGGAAGAAGGGAGAGGAGAGGAAGAAGGGAGAGGAGAGGAGAGGAUGAAGAGAGAAGAGAGGAGAGGAAGAAGAGAGAGGAAGGAGAGGAAGAAGAGACAGGGAGGAGAGGAAGAAAAGAGAGGGAGGAGAGGAAGAAGAGACAGGGAGGAGAGGAAGAAGAGAGAGGGAGGAGAGGAUGAAGAGAGAGAGGAGAGGAAGAAGGGAGAGAGGAGAGGAAGAAGAGAGAGAGGAGAGGAAGAAGAGAGAGAGAGGAGAGGAAGAAGAGAGAGAGGAGAGGAAGAAGAGAGAGAGGAGAGGAAGAAGAGAGAGAGGAGAGGAAGAAGAGAGAGAGAGAGAGGAGAGGAAGAAGGGAGAGAGAGGAGAGGAAGAAGAGAGAGGGAGGAGAGGAAGAAGGGAGAGAGAGGAGAGGAAGAAGAGAGAGAGAGGAGAGGAAGAAGAGAGAGAGGAGAGGAAGAAGGGAGAGAGGAGAGGAAGAAGAGAGAGAGAGGAGAGGAAGAAGAGAGAGAGGAGAGGAAGAAGAGAGAGAGAGGAGAGGAAGAAGGGAGAGAGGAGAGGAAGAAGAGAGAGAGGAGAGGAAGAAGAGAGAGAGGAGAGGAAGAA